UAGGGAAUAUUGGACAAUGGGUGAGAGCCUGAUCCAGCCAUGCCGCGUGCAGGAAGAAGGCGUUAUGCGUUGUAAACUGCUUUUUGCCAGGGGAUAAAAUGACCGUGCGCGGUUAAUUGAAGGUACCUGGUGAAUAAGCCACGGCUAACUACGUGCCAGCAGCCGCGGUAAUACGUAGGUGGCAAGCGUUGUCCGGAUUUAUUGGGUUUAAAGGGUGCGUAGGUGGCCCUGUAAGUCAGUGGUGAAAUAUCUCAGCUUAACUGAGAGGGUGCCAUUGAUACUGCAGGGCUUGAGUACAGAUGAGGUAGGCGGAAUUGACGGUGUAGCGGUGAAAUGCAUAGAUAUUAUCCAGAACACCAAUUGCGUAGGCAAGUUACUAAGUCAUAACUGACGCUGAGGCACGAAAGUGUGGGUAUCAAACAGGAUUAGAUACCCCAGUAGUCCCUGAGCGGGCUGGCAAGGCGCAU
RNAcentral lists this ribosomal RNA (467 nucleotides) under uncultured bacterium. RNAcentral describes it as "bacterial SSU rRNA". It matches the Rfam family "Bacterial small subunit ribosomal RNA", at positions 355 to 825 of the family's 1533-position model. The record is from RNAcentral.